AGCAGGAAGCCAAAAGCUUCAAAUAAUGCUGCGUAAAUCUCUACUCGGAAAGUAAUGUAUGGCGACAGCCACUCGCCGUAAUUACACAACAAAGGAUGUUUUACUACAUCAGUAUUCCGCAGCAUAGCGACUGGCAAAAGUAUUUUAUUACCGAAAUUUGGCUUCAAGUCUAGAAAUUUUCAGGGCGAUAUAUGCAGAAGGAUUUAAAACAUUAAUCACGACAGUUUCCAAUGGAGUUCAACAAAUAAGCCUAUCGCCGUCCACUGCUGAACAUAGGCCUCUCCAAUAGAUUUACAGUGCGACCGGUCCAUUGCCACCUGCAUCCAACGAGACCCAGCGCUUUUUACUUUAUCAAAUUACAGCCGGACCCUUAUUUCCCUUCAGUUACAUAUACAAAGGAUGUCAAGGCAUAGAGUACAAUGCCGUGCAAAACUAUGCCCUGAAGUGAAUAUGUGCUUUUACGUGGUAAAUUUCAUCUCUUGCGCUAUUCAAUUGACAAUCAGUACGAAUUUAAACGCAUUAAACACAUAUUUAAAUGACAACAUCAUUGAUUAACUAAACUAAUGUAAGACAAAAAUACGUUAAAAAGUAUUUCUUACGCUUAGAAUUGGUUUUAGAAUAAUUUUAGUGUAGUUUCAAAAUGCGUAAAAUUUUCAUUAAUUGAAUAUUGUUUUGGGAUUCUCAUGAAAAGUGUUUCGAUAUAUUGUUUUUUCGUAGUAAAGGGAAUAUAUCAAAAAAUCAUUAUUGUUUUGAAUUAUUACAAAGUCUUUGGUACGAGGUAUAAACUGUUCAAACUUACAUACCUAGUUUUAUAAACACUAAUCAACAUUACAAAUGCAUAUAUGAAAUAUGUACAAAAAAUUUUCAAGUCUCAUUAUGGUGAUACUGAAAAAUUUACUGUGAAAAAAUACUUUGGAAGAAGGGUUACAAUUUUAUAUUUCAGUAAACAGUCAUUGUGCUUAUGUUGUUUUCAUUUAAAAAAUCAAAAAUAAAUUAUAGCUCCGUGCUCAUUUCGGCAGGAACUGGCUUAUUUCCGGAGAAGGAUGGCGUAGGCGUUUCCGAUGACUCUCCUGGUUCGUUCAGUUGCUCUGCAGUCUAAUUGGAAAAAUAUCCUUCAGAUUUAUGACAUGAAAUUGUAUUUAAGAAAUUCUGUUUUUAUUUGAUAUAUUUUAUAUUAUAAUUACUGUAUUUUAUUAUAAUUACAUCAUAUUUAUUGUAGUAAUAACAA
Molecule: long non-coding RNA, 1228 nt
Organism: Bombyx mori (domestic silkworm)
Lineage: Eukaryota; Metazoa; Arthropoda; Insecta; Lepidoptera; Bombycidae
Exons: 2
Source: RefSeq, a predicted model, not a curated record